Molecule: ribosomal RNA, 467 nt
Filed under: uncultured bacterium
Lineage: Bacteria
Description: partial 16S ribosomal RNA
Rfam family: Bacterial small subunit ribosomal RNA
Source: RNAcentral
GACGAACGCUGGCGGCGUGCUUAACACAUGCAAGUCGAACGGAAAGGCCCUGCUUUUGUGGGGUGCUCGAGUGGCGAACGGGUGAGUAACACGUGAGUAACCUGCCCUUGACUUUGGGAUAACUUCAGGAAACUGGGGCUAAUACCGGAUAGGAGCUCCUGCUGCAUGGUGGGGGUUGGAAAGUUUCGGCGGUUGGGGAUGGACUCGCGGCUUAUCAGCUUGUUGGUGGGGUAGUGGCUUACCAAGGCUUUGACGGGUAGCCGGCCUGAGAGGGUGACCGGCCACAUUGGGACUGGGAUAGGGCCAGACUCCUACGGGAGGCAGCAGUGGGGAAUAUUGCACAAUGGGCGGAAGCCUGAUGCAGCAACGCCGCGUGCGGGAUGACGGCCUUCGGGUUGUAAACCGCUUUCGCCUGUGACGAAGCGUGAGUGACGGUAAUGGGUAAAGAAGCACCGGCUAACUACGUG